AAGCAUUUAAGCGUUAAGAGAUCACUUACUUCAGUUGCCAAGGGUCAGAUGUCUACUAGUUUGAACCCAUCCACAGGAUUUAAAAGCCAUUAAAGGUUUACAGACACAGCAAACUCAAUGUUUCACAGUGAGGCCACAAUUCAAGCUUUCCUCUCAAGUUGAUUAUACAUGAAGAAACAAACACUUCUUAAUAUGUCAUAGACAAUGACCACAAACUCAGAGGGAAAGGAGCCCCCCUCCGGACAUGGGUCUGAGCAGCAACUAACCCAUUGCAUACUUUUGGGUCCAGCUCCGAGCAGUUGCUUCGUACUUGCUUUUAUCAGUCUUGUACAUAUGAGCAAUCUCGGGCACCAAAGGAUCAUCGGGAUUAGGGUCUGUUAGCAGAGAGCAGAUUGACAGCAGCACCUUGGAAAUCGUAAGUGCCGGGCUCCAUUGUUCCUUCAGAAUGUCGAGGCAAAUGCUGCCA
RNAcentral lists this unclassified non-coding RNA (466 nucleotides) under Hevea brasiliensis (rubber tree). Lineage: Eukaryota; Viridiplantae; Streptophyta; Magnoliopsida; Malpighiales; Euphorbiaceae. The record is from RNAcentral.